Monopterus albus (swamp eel) is the source of this 717-nucleotide long non-coding RNA. RefSeq lists it as uncharacterized. The record is from RefSeq and is a predicted model, not a curated record. Lineage: Eukaryota; Metazoa; Chordata; Actinopteri; Synbranchiformes; Synbranchidae. The transcript is spliced from 4 exons.
UCGUAAUUAAUGGGGGCGGGACUAACAAGCUUGCCGUCUGUUCUGACAGUGAAGCUCUCUCAGCGCUGAAACAGACAGAAAAAAAAAUCACACCACUACCCAAAUCCUUCCAAUGGAGGAGGGCCAAGACGUUGAAGCUUGUUCGGCAAAUGAAAAGAACGUCUGCAAGCUAACGUCCUAGCUCAAGCAAAGAGAGAAGAAAUAAAGUUUAAAAUUGUGGACCCUCCUUUCUCUCUCCAGUUCCAGCCCCUGCCCUAUGGCCUUAAGGACACAUCCGCCAUAUUAGAAAAGUCUCCUUUUUACAUCAUGCUGGUGGUGGCAGGGGUCACAAUGCCCAGGCACCACUGGGGAGGUCAGGGAUUGAAUUACAGCUCCUAUCGAUUAUUGUUCCCACCACUGCCCUUCAGAGAGACCAGGACAGGAAAUGCAUCCUUCGCCCUAUGGACUCCUGAGAGGAACAGCUCCCCUAUACUGUCUGCAGUCAGAAUGGCUAGGUGUCAGACACUGCUCCUGCUUUGUGAAUGGAGCUGCUGUGACUUGCUUUGUACAUUUAGUUGAGUUGAUUUGAUCAGUGAGCUCCUCUUUCCAGGAAGUCGGUUAAAAUGUAGCUUAUUUGAAGUCUUCCACUUACUGUACAUCAGUUGUGUCGGACAGUAGCUCUUGGCUCUGAUGUUCCCACAUGCAUAUUGUACUUUCCCCAAACAAUAAAACCGCUUG